ACCAGCCACACUGGAACUGAGACACGGUCCAGACUCCUACGGGAGGCAGCAGUGGGGAAUAUUGCACAAUGGGCGCAAGCCUGAUGCAGCCAUGCCGCGUGUAUGAAGAAGGCCUUCGGGUUGUAAAGUACUUUCAGCGGGGAGGAAGGGAGUAAAGUUAAUACCUUUGCUCAUUGACGUUACCCGCAGAAGAAGCACCGGCUAACUCCGUGCCAGCAGCCGCGGUAAUACGGAGGGUGCAAGCGUUAAUCGGAAUUACUGGGCGUAAAGCGCACGCAGGCGGUUUGUUAAGUCAGAUGUGAAAUCCCCGGGCUCAACCUGGGAACUGCAUCUGAUACUGGCAAGCUUGAGUCUCGUAGAGGGGGGUAGAAUUCCAGGUGUAGCGGUGAAAUGCGUAGAGAUCUGGAGGAAUACCGG
Molecule: ribosomal RNA, 417 nt
Filed under: Escherichia coli
Lineage: Bacteria; Pseudomonadati; Pseudomonadota; Gammaproteobacteria; Enterobacterales; Enterobacteriaceae
Description: bacterial SSU rRNA
Rfam family: Bacterial small subunit ribosomal RNA
Source: RNAcentral